AUGGCAAGCAAUAUGCCGCAUAUAAUAUCUGUUGUGAUUCUUUUUAUAAAUCUGUUAAAUUUACUGCAAUCAUCAGAAUGUUCUUCUGUUGCUUUAAAGCAAAAGAUGGCAUUAAAGCAUUUGGACGAAAUGUCAAGAAUUAGACAUGGUUUCUGGCAUGCCGAUGAUGUUGAACUGAUUCCUCGUUCAGAAAAUCUAACACAGGCACAACGUAUCAAAAUGUCAGACAUUUGUCGAUCUUAUGGCAAAGUUUGCUCCAUGGCUGAGGAUUGUUGUUCCAAAUUUUGUGUCAAUUCACUUAAACGUUGCGUUUCUUAGAACAAUAAUAUUCGCAAAUAGUUCUCAAGGACUUCUAUGAUCUAUUAAUGCAUUUUUAAGUUAUACAUUUCAUGGGUUUAUUUAAAUUAAACGACCAUCUAAAGGAAUUUUGGCAAUGGUUGAAGAAAAUAAUUAAAUUUGAUGACCUUUAAUAUUCUAUACAAUGCAAAUUUAAAGCAAACACAAUUUAAGACAAAUAUUUUCUAUGUAAACAAAUCAAAUCAAAUUGAUGGCCACUUUUCGUAUCCAACAAAUGCUGAUUUAAUGUAUUGGAUUACCAGUUAAGGCAAUUAUCUAAAUAUCAAUGAUACUUGAAUAAACUUCUUGAUGGGAGUGCACUUACUUGUCAAA
Drosophila willistoni is the source of this 669-nucleotide long non-coding RNA. RefSeq lists it as uncharacterized. The transcript has 2 exons. The record is from RefSeq and is a predicted model, not a curated record. Lineage: Eukaryota; Metazoa; Arthropoda; Insecta; Diptera; Drosophilidae.